This 411-nucleotide ribosomal RNA is filed under the name uncultured bacterium. RNAcentral describes it as "bacterial SSU rRNA". It matches the Rfam family "Bacterial small subunit ribosomal RNA", at positions 28 to 432 of the family's 1533-position model. The record is from RNAcentral.
GACGAACGCUGGCGGUGUGCUUAACACAUGCAAGUGGUGCGACGAACCAGGCUUCGGCCUGGGGCAAAGCCGCGAACGGGUGAGUAACACGUGGGUAAUCUGCCCCGAUGACCGGGACAACCCGAGGAAACUCGGGCUAAUACCGGAUGUGGUGCACAGGCUCAAGCCUGUGUACUAAAGGUAGCUUCGGCUUCCGCAUUGGGAGGGGCCCGCGGCCCAUUAGCUUGUUGGUGGGGUCAAGGCCUACCAAGGCAACGAUGGGUAGCUGGUCUGAGAGGACGAUCAGCCACACUGGGACUGAGACACGGCCCAGACUCCUACGGGAGGCAGCAGUGGGGAAUCUUGCGCAAUGCGCGAAAGCGUGACGCAGCAACACCGCGUGAGGGAAGACGGCCCUAGGGUUGUAAACCU